RNAcentral lists this transfer RNA (85 nucleotides) under Microbacterium natoriense. RNAcentral's name for it is "tRNA-Ser". It matches the Rfam family "tRNA". From Rfam's summary of the family: Transfer RNA (tRNA) molecules are approximately 80 nucleotides in length. Their secondary structure includes four short double-helical elements and three loops (D, anti-codon, and T loops). The record is from RNAcentral. Lineage: Bacteria; Bacillati; Actinomycetota; Actinomycetes; Micrococcales; Microbacteriaceae.
GGAGGGUUGUCCGAGCGGCCGAUGGAGCUGGUCUUGAAAACCAGUGGACAGAAAUGUCUCAAGAGUUCGAAUCUCUUACCCUCCG